GACGAACGCUGGCGGCGUGCCUAAUACAUGCAAGUUGAGCGAUGAAGAUUGGUGCUUGCACCAAUUUGAAGAGCAGCGAACGGGUGAGUAACGCGUGGGGAAUCUGCCUUUGAGCGGGGGACAACAUUUGGAAACGAAUGCUAAUACCGCAUAACAACUUUAAACAUAAGUUUUAAGUUUGAAAGAUGCAAUUGCAUCACUCAAGAUUGUCCCGCGUUGGAUUAGCUAGGUGGUGAGGUAAAGGCCCACCAAGGCGAUGAUACAUAGCCGACCUGAGAGGGAGAUCUGCCACAUUGAGACUGAGACACGGCCCAAGCUCCUACGGGAGGCAGCAGUAGGGAAGCUUCGGAUAUGGAAGAAAGUCUGACCGAGCAACGCCGCGUGAGUGAAGAAGGUUUUCGGAUCGUAAAACUCUGUUGGUAGAGAAGAACGUAGGUGAGAGUGGAAAGCUCAUCAAGUGACGGUAACUACCCAGAAAGGGACGGCUAACUACGUG
Molecule: ribosomal RNA, 496 nt
Filed under: uncultured bacterium
Lineage: Bacteria
Description: partial 16S ribosomal RNA
Rfam family: Bacterial small subunit ribosomal RNA
Source: RNAcentral